Molecule: ribosomal RNA, 2426 nt
Filed under: Escherichia coli
Lineage: Bacteria; Pseudomonadati; Pseudomonadota; Gammaproteobacteria; Enterobacterales; Enterobacteriaceae
Description: partial 23S ribosomal RNA
Rfam family: Bacterial large subunit ribosomal RNA
Source: RNAcentral
GUGAAAAAGAACCUGAAACCGUGUACGUACAAGCAGUGGGAGCACAGAGCAAUCUGUGUGACUGCGUACCUUUUGUAUAAUGGGUCAGCGACUUAUAUUCUGUAGCAAGGUUAACCGAAUAGGGGAGCCGAAGGGAAACCGAGUCUUAACCGGGCGUUAAGUUGCAGGGUAUAGACCCGAAACCCGGUGAUCUAGCCAUGGGCAGGUUGAAGGUUGGGUAACACUAACUGGAGGACCGAACCGACUAAUGUUGAAAAAUUAGCGGAUGACUUGUGGCUGGGGGUGAAAGGCCAAUCAAACCGGGAGAUAGCUGGUUCUCCCCGAAAGCUAUUUAGGUAGCGCCUCGUGAAUUCAUCUCCGGGGGUAGAGCACUGUUUCGGCAAGGGGGUCAUCCCGACUUACCAACCCGAUGCAAACUGCGAAUACCGGAGAAUGUUAUCACGGGAGACACACGGCGGGUGCUAACGUCCGUCGUGAAGAGGGAAACAACCCAGACCGCCAGCUAAGGUCCCAAAGUCAUGGUUAAGUGGGAAACGAUGUGGGAAGGCCCAGACAGCCAGGAUGUUGGCUUAGAAGCAGCCAUCAUUUAAAGAAAGCGUAAUAGCUCACUGGUCGAGUCGGCCUGCGCGGAAGAUGUAACGGGGCUAAACCAUGCACCGAAGCUGCGGCAGCGACACUGUGUGUUGUUGGGUAGGGGAGCGUUCUGUAAGCCUGUGAAGGUGUACUGUGAGGUAUGCUGGAGGUAUCAGAAGUGCGAAUGCUGACAUAAGUAACGAUAAAGCGGGUGAAAAGCCCGCUCGCCGGAAGACCAAGGGUUCCUGUCCAACGUUAAUCGGGGCAGGGUGAGUCGACCCCUAAGGCGAGGCCGAAAGGCGUAGUCGAUGGGAAACAGGUUAAUAUUCCUGUACUUGGUGUUACUGCGAAGGGGGGACGGAGAAGGCUAUGUUGGCCGGGCGACGGUUGUCCCGGUUUAAGCGUGUAGGCUGGUUUUCCAGGCAAAUCCGGAAAAUCAAGGCUGAGGCGUGAUGACGAGGCACUACGGUGCUGAAGCAACAAAUGCCCUGCUUCCAGGAAAAGCCUCUAAGCAUCAGGUAACAUCAAAUCGUACCCCAAACCGACACAGGUGGUCAGGUAGAGAAUACCAAGGCGCUUGAGAGAACUCGGGUGAAGGAACUAGGCAAAAUGGUGCCGUAACUUCGGGAGAAGGCACGCUGAUAUGUAGGUGAAGUCCCUCGCGGAUGGAGCUGAAAUCAGUCGAAGAUACCAGCUGGCUGCAACUGUUUAUUAAAAACACAGCACUGUGCAAACACGAAAGUGGACGUAUACGGUGUGACGCCUGCCCGGUGCCGGAAGGUUAAUUGAUGGGGUCAGCGCAAGCGAAGCUCUUGAUCGAAGCCCCGGUAAACGGCGGCCGUAACUAUAACGGUCCUAAGGUAGCGAAAUUCCUUGUCGGGUAAGUUCCGACCUGCACGAAUGGCGUAAUGAUGGCCAGGCUGUCUCCACCCGAGACUCAGUGAAAUUGAACUCGCUGUGAAGAUGCAGUGUACCCGCGGCAAGACGGAAAGACCCCGUGAACCUUUACUAUAGCUUGACACUGAACAUUGAGCCUUGAUGUGUAGGAUAGGUGGGAGGCUUUGAAGUGUGGACGCCAGUCUGCAUGGAGCCGACCUUGAAAUACCACCCUUUAAUGUUUGAUGUUCUAACGUGGACCCGUGAUCCGGGUUGCGGACAGUGUCUGGUGGGUAGUUUGACUGGGGCGGUCUCCUCCUAAAGAGUAACGGAGGAGCACGAAGGUUGGCUAAUCCUGGUCGGACAUCAGGAGGUUAGUGCAAUGGCAUAAGCCAGCUUGACUGCGAGCGUGACGGCGCGAGCAGGUGCGAAAGCAGGUCAUAGUGAUCCGGUGGUUCUGAAUGGAAGGGCCAUCGCUCAACGGAUAAAAGGUACUCCGGGGAUAACAGGCUGAUACCGCCCAAGAGUUCAUAUCGACGGCGGUGUUUGGCACCUCGAUGUCGGCUCAUCACAUCCUGGGGCUGAAGUAGGUCCCAAGGGUAUGGCUGUUCGCCAUUUAAAGUGGUACGCGAGCUGGGUUUAGAACGUCGUGAGACAGUUCGGUCCCUAUCUGCCGUGGGCGCUGGAGAACUGAGGGGGGCUGCUCCUAGUACGAGAGGACCGGAGUGGACGCAUCACUGGUGUUCGGGUUGUCAUGCCAAUGGCACUGCCCGGUAGCUAAAUGCGGAAGAGAUAAGUGCUGAAAGCAUCUAAGCACGAAACUUGCCCCGAGAUGAGUUCUCCCUGACCCUUUAAGGGUCCUGAAGGAACGUUGAAGACGACGACGUUGAUAGGCCGGGUGUGUAAGCGCAGCGAUGCGUUGAGCUAACCGGUACUAAUGAACCGUGAGGCUUAACCUUACAACGCCGAAGGUGUUU